This 496-nucleotide ribosomal RNA is filed under the name Thalamitoides sp. 17054A. Its description in RNAcentral is "partial large subunit ribosomal RNA". It matches the Rfam family "Archaeal large subunit ribosomal RNA", at positions 1908 to 2643 of the family's 2987-position model. Lineage: Eukaryota; Metazoa; Arthropoda; Malacostraca; Decapoda; Portunidae. The record is from RNAcentral.
UGGCUAUUAUGAAAAUAUUAAUAGUCUAGCCUGCUCACUGAUAUAAAAUAUUAAAUAGCCGCGGUAUCUUGACCGUGCAAAGGUAGCAUAAUCAUUAGUUUUUUAAUUGGAAACUUGUAUGAAUGGUUGGACAAAGAAGAAUCUGUCUCUUUUAUUAAUGUUGAAUUUAACUUCUAAGUGAAAAGGCUUAGAUUUUCUAGAGGGACGAUAAGACCCUAUAAAGCUUUAUAAAUUUAAAAAUUUUAUAUAUUUUUGUCUAAAAAUAAUUUUUUGAACAUUUAUUUGGUUGGGGCGACAAAAGUAUAAAAAGUAACUGCUAGAACUUAAUACAAAUAUUGUUGAUUGAUAACAUUAAUAGAUCCUUUAUAAGGAUUUUAAGAUCAAGUUACUUUAGGGAUAACAGCGUUAUUUCUUCUGAGAGUUCUUAUCAAAGGAGAAGUUUGCGACCUCGAUGUUGAAUUAAAAUGUCUUUAUAGUGCAGCAGCUAUAAAAGAAG